UACGAAGGGUGCAAGCGUUAAUCGGAAUUACUGGGCGUAAAGCGCGCGUAGGUGGUUCAGUAAGUUGGAAGUGAAAUCCCCGGGCUCAACCUGGGAACUGCUUUCAAAACUGCUGAGCUAGAGUACGGUAGAGGGUGGUGGAAUUUCCUGUGUAGCGGUGAAAUGCGUAGAUAUAGGAAGGAACACCAGUGGCGAAGGCGACCACCUGGACUGAGACUGACACUGAGGUGAGAAAGCGUGGGGAGCAAACAGG
Molecule: ribosomal RNA, 253 nt
Filed under: uncultured bacterium
Lineage: Bacteria
Description: partial 16S ribosomal RNA
Rfam family: Bacterial small subunit ribosomal RNA
Source: RNAcentral